This is a long non-coding RNA of Salvia splendens (bonfire salvia), 464 nucleotides long. RefSeq lists it as uncharacterized. The record is from RefSeq and is a predicted model, not a curated record. The transcript has 3 exons. NCBI's taxonomy places the organism in Eukaryota, Viridiplantae, Streptophyta, Magnoliopsida, Lamiales, Lamiaceae.
CCGAGUAGAUCAGCUGCCGGGAAACUGUGGCCGAUUAAUCAUGGCCGUUGUAUCACCGUGCCAUUUCAGAUUCCCCCUCCUUUAUCGUCGUAAUGUUCAACUUGUUUGCCAUUCACGAUUAUUUCCGGCAACAUGUAAAUCAGGGAGAGGUAAAACCAGGCGUUUAUCAGAAAUGCGAGAAUUUUAUAGUUUGGAGUUCCAAUUAUGUCUCCACAAAGGCGCAAGUUGUUAUAGAGGAAAGCGAGCCAUUGUAAGAAAGUCUGGUGCUUGUUUUGAAGUCGGAGGCCAAGGGACAAAUUUAUCAAGGCGGUUCCUACAAAAAUAUUAGGAGGUGAAGAUGCAUACCUCCACAAAGGUUGAUCAAGGGAUCGUCAGGCAUCAGUUUAUAGGCUUGCAAGUAUUCUCGAGCAGCAGUUUGAUGCUGACUGAUCAUAGUAAACUGGUGGCCGGUAAUAAGAAUAGGC